GCCGGGAUAGCUCAGCGGUAGAGCAACGGUUUCGUAAACCGUAGGUCGAGAGUUCAAAUCUCUCUCCCGGCU
RNAcentral lists this transfer RNA (72 nucleotides) under Candidatus Nealsonbacteria bacterium CG08_land_8_20_14_0_20_38_20. RNAcentral's name for it is "tRNA-Thr". It matches the Rfam family "tRNA". From Rfam's summary of the family: Transfer RNA (tRNA) molecules are approximately 80 nucleotides in length. Their secondary structure includes four short double-helical elements and three loops (D, anti-codon, and T loops). The record is from RNAcentral. Lineage: Bacteria; Candidatus Nealsoniibacteriota.